CCUACGGGUGGCAGCAGUGGGGGAUAUUGCACAAUGGGGGAAACCCUGAUGCAGCGACGCCGCGUGGGUGAAGAAGUAUUUCGGUAUGUAAAGCCCUAUCAGCAGGGAAGAAAGAAGACGGUACCUGACUAAGAAGCCCCGGCUAACUACGUGCCAGCAGCCGCGGUAAUACGUAGGGGGCGAGCGUUAUCCGGAUUCACUGGGUGUAAAGGGAGCGUAGACGGCCGUGCAAGCCAGGAGUGAAAGCCCGGGGCCCAACCCCGGGACUGCUCUUGGAACUGUGCGGCUGGAGUGCGGGAGGGGCAGGCGGAAUUCCUGGUGUAGCGGUGAAAUGCGGAGAGAUCAGGAGGAACACCGGCGGCGAAGGCGGCCUGCUGGACCGCGACUGACGUUGAGGCUCGAAAGCGUGGGGAGCGAACAGGAUUAGAGACCCGAGUAGUC
Molecule: ribosomal RNA, 441 nt
Filed under: uncultured bacterium
Lineage: Bacteria
Description: partial 16S ribosomal RNA
Rfam family: Bacterial small subunit ribosomal RNA
Source: RNAcentral